Molecule: ribosomal RNA, 466 nt
Filed under: uncultured bacterium
Lineage: Bacteria
Description: partial 16S ribosomal RNA
Rfam family: Bacterial small subunit ribosomal RNA
Source: RNAcentral
GACGAACGCUGGCGGUGUGCUUAACACAUGCAAGUCGAACGGUAAGGCCCUUUCGGGGGUACACGAGUGGCGCACGGGUGAGUAACACGUGAGUAACCUGCCCUCAUCUCUGGGAUAACAGUCGGAAACGGUUGCUAAUACUGGAUAUGAGCUUGCAAGGCAUCUUGUGGGUUGGAAAGAUUUUUUUGGUUGGGGAUGGACUCGCGGCCUAUCAGCUUGUUGGUGAGGUAGUGGCUCACCAAGGCUUCGACGGGUAGCCGGCCUGAGAGGGCGACCGGCCACAUUGGGACUGAGAUACGGCCCAAACGCCUACGGGAGGCAGCAGUGGGGAAUAUUGCACAAUGGACGGAAGUCUGAUGCAGCAACGCCGCGGGCGGGAUGACGGCCUUCGGGUUGGAAACCGCUUUCAAUUGUGACGAAGCUUUUUGUGACGGUAGCAGUAGAAGAAGCACCGGCUAACUACGUG